This 301-nucleotide ribosomal RNA is filed under the name uncultured bacterium. RNAcentral's name for it is "partial 16S ribosomal RNA". It matches the Rfam family "Bacterial small subunit ribosomal RNA", at positions 509 to 809 of the family's 1533-position model. The record is from RNAcentral.
CAGUCGCCGCGGUAACACAGAGGGUGCGAGCGUUAAUCGGAUUUACUGGGCGUAAAGCGUGCGUAGGCGGCUUCUUAAGUCGGAUGUGAAAUCCCUGAGCUUAACUUAGGAAUUGCAUUCGAUACUGGGAAGCUAGAGUAUGGGAGAGGAUGGUAGAAUUCCAGGUGUAGCGGUGAAAUGCGUAGAGAUCUGGAGGAAUACCGAUGGCGAAGGCAGCCAUCUGGCCUAAUACUGACGCUGAGGUACGAAAGCAUGGGGAGCAAACAGGAUUAGAGACCCCUGUAGUCCCUGUCUCUUAUAA